RNAcentral lists this ribosomal RNA (530 nucleotides) under uncultured bacterium. RNAcentral describes it as "bacterial SSU rRNA". It matches the Rfam family "Bacterial small subunit ribosomal RNA", at positions 979 to 1509 of the family's 1533-position model. The record is from RNAcentral.
CCUUGACAUACUAAGAACUUUCCAGAGAUGGAUUGGUGCCUUCGGGAACUUAGAUACAGGUGCUGCAUGGCUGUCGUCAGCUCGUGUCGUGAGAUGUUGGGUUAAGUCCCGCAACGAGCGCAACCCUUUUCCUUAUUUGCCAGCGGGUCAUGCCGGGAACUUUAAGGAUACUGCCAGUGACAAACUGGAGGAAGGCGGGGACGACGUCAAGUCAUCAUGGCCCUUACGGCCAGGGCUACACACGUGCUACAAUGGUCGGUACAAAGGGUUGCUACCUCGCGAGAGGAUGCUAAUCUCAAAAAGCCGAUCGUAGUCCGGAUCGCAGUCUGCAACUCGACUGCGUGAAGUCGGAAUCGCUAGUAAUCGCGGAUCAGAAUGCCCGCGGUCGAUACGUUCCGGCCUUGUACACACCGCCCGUCACACCAUGGGAGUUUGUUGCACCAGAAGUAGGUAGUCUAACCGCAAGGAGGACGCUUACCACGGUGUGGCCGAUGACUGGGGUGAAGUCGUAACAAGGUAAGCGUAGAUGA